CUGGAGGUAUCAGAAGUGCGAAUGCUGACAUAAGUAACGAUAAAGCGGGUGAAAAGCCCGCUCGCCGGAAGACCAAGGGUUCCUGUCCAACGUUAAUCGGGGCAGGGUGAGUCGACCCCUAAGGCGAGGCCGAAAGGCGUAGUCGAUGGGAAACAGGUUAAUAUUCCUGUACUUGGUGUUACUGCGAAGGGGGGACGGAGAAGGCUAUGUUGGCCGGGCGACGGUUGUCCCGGUUUAAGCGUGUAGGCUGGUUUUCCAGGCAAAUCCGGAAAAUCAAGGCUGAGGCGUGAUGACGAGGCACUACGGUGCUGAAGCAACAAAUGCCCUGCUUCCAGGAAAAGCCUCUAAGCAUCAGGUAACAUCAAAUCGUACCCCAAACCGACACAGGUGGUCAGGUAGAGAAUACCAAGGCGCUUGAGAGAACUCGGGUGAAGGAACUAGGCAAAAUGGUGCCGUAACUUCGGGAGAAGGCACGCUGAUAUGUAGGUGAAGCGACUUGCUCGUGGAGCUGAAAUCAGUCGAAGAUACCAGCUGGCUGCAACUGUUUAUUAAAAACACAGCACUGUGCAAACACGAAAGUGGACGUAUACGGUGUGACGCCUGCCCGGUGCCGGAAGGUUAAUUGAUGGGGUCAGCGCAAGCGAAGCUCUUGAUCGAAGCCCCGGUAAACGGCGGCCGUAACUAUAACGGUCCUAAGGUAGCGAAAUUCCUUGUCGGGUAAGUUCCGACCUGCACGAAUGGCGUAAUGAUGGCCAGGCUGUCUCCACCCGAGACUCAGUGAAAUUGAACUCGCUGUGAAGAUGCAGUGUACCCGCGGCAAGACGGAAAGACCCCGUGAACCUUUACUAUAGCUUGACACUGAACAUUGAGCCUUGAUGUGUAGGAUAGGUGGGAGGCUUUGAAGUGUGGACGCCAGUCUGCAUGGAGCCGACCUUGAAAUACCACCCUUUAAUGUUUGAUGUUCUAACGUUGACCCGUAAUCCGGGUUGCGGACAGUGUCUGGUGGGUAGUUUGACUGGGGCGGUCUCCUCCUAAAGAGUAACGGAGGAGCACGAAGGUUGGCUAAUCCUGGUCGGACAUCAGGAGGUUAGUGCAAUGGCAUAAGCCAGCUUGACUGCGAGCGUGACGGCGCGAGCAGGUGCGAAAGCAGGUCAUAGUGAUCCGGUGGUUCUGAAUGGAAGGGCCAUCGCUCAACGGAUAAAAGGUACUCCGGGGAUAACAGGCUGAUACCGCCCAAGAGUUCAUAUCGACGGCGGUGUUUGGCACCUCGAUGUCGGCUCAUCACAUCCUGGGGCUGAAGUAGGUCCCAAGGGUAUGGCUGUUCGCCAUUUAAAGUGGUACGCGAGCUGGGUUUAGAACGUCGUGAGACAGUUCGGUCCCUAUCUGCCGUGGGCGCUGGAGAACUGAGGGGGGCUGCUCCUAGUACGAGAGGACCGGAGUGGACGCAUCACUGGUGUUCGGGUUGUCAUGCCAAUGGCACUGCCCGGUAGCUAAAUGCGGAAGAGAUAAGUGCUGAAAGCAUCUAAGCACGAAACUUGCCCCGAGAUGAGUUCUCCCUGACUCCUUGAGAGUCCUGAAGGAACGUUGAAGACGACGACGUUGAUAGGCCGGGUGUGUAAGCGCAGCGAUGCGUUGAGCUAACCGGUACUAAUGAACCGUGAGG
RNAcentral lists this ribosomal RNA (1663 nucleotides) under Escherichia coli. RNAcentral describes it as "bacterial LSU rRNA". It matches the Rfam family "Bacterial large subunit ribosomal RNA", at positions 1273 to 2915 of the family's 2925-position model. The record is from RNAcentral. Lineage: Bacteria; Pseudomonadati; Pseudomonadota; Gammaproteobacteria; Enterobacterales; Enterobacteriaceae.